Long non-coding RNA from Melospiza melodia melodia, 552 nucleotides. RefSeq lists it as uncharacterized. NCBI's taxonomy places the organism in Eukaryota, Metazoa, Chordata, Aves, Passeriformes, Passerellidae. The transcript is spliced from 3 exons. The record is from RefSeq and is a predicted model, not a curated record.
AUUAGUUAAGGCUUUCUGACUAUCAUGUGCCACACGUAAUUCUGAAACCACUGAUUUACAUCACUGGCCUCUGCUGACGCUGGCGUGCAUCUUCUAGGAAUGGACACUUCGUGCUCUUUGUGACACACCUUUACGGGGGACAGAGGAAGCCGGAGCAUCCCACCGCCCGUACCUGCUGUCCCUAAGGGCGCCUAUGGCUGACAACAGGAGCGACAGAGCAGCACCAUGGUGAGCCAGAACCCAAACAGCAGACCAGGAUGGGCUCAGCAACCAUCAGCUGGUGCAAAAAUAGUCCAAACUUGAGACAGCUGGGCCAAGUUCAGAAGAAGAGUUUGAAGACCUGUGUGAGGAGGAAGAACCAAGAGCUGUGUGUGUGAGGGUGCAGAAGUGGUGGAACUCCAGUUGCUUUUGUGCCUGUCAAAAUGUGGUAUAAAACUGUGCACCAGGCCAGGUUCUGUCCAGUGUCAAAGAAAGAAAUACUGUUCUUGAUAAAAAGAUGUUAACAAGACAGUAUUUUCUUCAUGCUGCAAGCAGGGAUAGAAAACUGCUAAA